AAUGCCGUACACCGGUGCCGG
Molecule: unclassified non-coding RNA, 21 nt
Filed under: Chlamydomonas reinhardtii
Lineage: Eukaryota; Viridiplantae; Chlorophyta; Chlorophyceae; Chlamydomonadales; Chlamydomonadaceae
Description: small RNA Cre_0168
Source: RNAcentral